Molecule: ribosomal RNA, 423 nt
Filed under: Verrucomicrobiota bacterium
Lineage: Bacteria; Pseudomonadati; Verrucomicrobiota
Description: Verrucomicrobia bacterium partial 16S ribosomal RNA
Rfam family: Bacterial small subunit ribosomal RNA
Source: RNAcentral
UGAGGAAUAUUGGUCAAUGGACGCAAGUCUGAACCAGCCAAGUAGCGUGCAGGAUGACGGCCCUAUGGGUUGUAAACUGCUUUUAUAUGGGGAUAAAGUGGGGAACGUGUUCCCUUUUGCAGGUACCAUACGAAUAAGGACCGGCUAAAUACGUGCCAGCAGCCGCGGUAAUACGUAAGGUCCGAGCGUUGUCCGGAAUCAUUGGGCGUAAAGGGUACGUAGGCGGAUAAGCAAGUUAGAAGUGAAAUCCUAUAGCUCAACUAUAGUAAGCUUUUAAAACUGCUCAUCUUGAGGUAUGGAAGGGAAAGUGGAAUUCCUAGUGUAGCGGUGAAAUGCGCAGAUAUUAGGAGGAAUACCGGUGGCGAAGGCGACUUUCUGGCCAUAUACUGACGCUGAGGUACGAAAGCGUGGGUAGCAAACAGG